Molecule: ribosomal RNA, 301 nt
Filed under: uncultured bacterium
Lineage: Bacteria
Description: partial 16S ribosomal RNA
Rfam family: Bacterial small subunit ribosomal RNA
Source: RNAcentral
CAGUAGCCACGGGAAUACGUAGGGUGCAAGCGUUAAUCGGAAUUACUGGGCGUAAAGCGUGCGCAGGCGGUCCGUUAAGACAGAUGUGAAAUCCCCGGGCUUAACCUGGGACCUGCAUUUGUGACUGUAUAGCUAGAGUACGGUAGAGGGGGAUGGAAUUCCGCGUGUAGCAGUGAAAUGCGUAGAUAUGCGGAGGAACACCGAUGGCGAAGGCAAUCCCCUGGACCUGUACUGACGCUCAUGCACGAAAGCGUGGGGAGCAAACAGGAUUAGAUACCCGCGUAGUCCCUGUCUCUUAUAU